AUGAAUAUGAAAUCUCGAGGUUUAGCGAUUUACCGACUUGACGAAAUCGAAGGCGCUUUUAGGGUAUGCAGCAAGUUUUGGACAACAACAUUUGGACUGGUUUGCGACAGCAGUAGCGGCAGGUUUUUGUUGUAUAAGGGCUAUGGUUUGGCAUAUGAUGAGAAAAGUUUUGGUGUUUUGGACAACAACUUUAUGGAGGAUAGCAACAAGUGA
Molecule: non-coding RNA, 213 nt
Organism: Vicia faba (fava bean)
Lineage: Eukaryota; Viridiplantae; Streptophyta; Magnoliopsida; Fabales; Fabaceae
Source: the annotation of a GenBank genome assembly